RNAcentral lists this ribosomal RNA (270 nucleotides) under uncultured eukaryote. Its description in RNAcentral is "partial 18S ribosomal RNA". It matches the Rfam family "Eukaryotic small subunit ribosomal RNA", at positions 1208 to 1456 of the family's 1831-position model. The record is from RNAcentral.
GGAAAACUUACCAGGUCCAGACAUAACAAGGAUUGUCAGAUUGAAGAUCUUACUUGAUUUUAUGGGUGGUGGUGCAUGGCCGUUCUUAGUUGGUGGAGUGAUUUGUCUGGUUAAUUCCGUUAACGAACGAGACCUCAGCCUGCUAACUAGUAGUGCCUAUCCUUUUGGGCGGCGCCCUCACGGGAUGUCGCCUGAUUUCAUGGAUAGGGUACUUAAUCUACUUCUUAGAGGGACUUUCCGUGUCUAGCGGAAGGAAGUUUGAGGCAAUAA